UGGCUCUACGCUCUUAGGGGCGGGUACC
RNAcentral lists this non-coding RNA (28 nucleotides) under Rattus norvegicus (Norway rat). The record is from RNAcentral. Lineage: Eukaryota; Metazoa; Chordata; Mammalia; Rodentia; Muridae.